This 427-nucleotide ribosomal RNA is filed under the name uncultured bacterium. Its description in RNAcentral is "partial 16S ribosomal RNA". It matches the Rfam family "Bacterial small subunit ribosomal RNA", at positions 355 to 774 of the family's 1533-position model. The record is from RNAcentral.
UGGGGAAUAUUGCACAAUGGGCGCAAGCCUGAUGCAGCCAUGCCGCGUGUAUGAAGAAGGCCUUCGGGUUGUAAAGUACUUUCAGCGAGGAGGAAGGCGUUGUGGUUAAUAACCGCAACGAUUGACGUUACUCGCAGAAGAAGCACCGGCUAACUCCGUGCCAGCAGCCGCGGUAAUACGGAGGGUGCAAGCGUUAAUCGGAAUUACUGGGCGUAAAGCGCACGCAGGCGGUCUGUCAAGACGGAUGUGAAAUCCCCGGGCUCAACCUGGGAACUGCAUCCGAAACUGGCAGGCUAGAGUCUUGUAGAGGGGGGUAGAAUUCCAGGUGUAGCGGUGAAAUGCGUAGAGAUCUGGAGGAAUACCGGUGGCGAAGGCGGCCCCCUGGACAAAGACUGACGCUCAGGUGCGAAAGCGUGGGGAGCAAACA